Molecule: unclassified non-coding RNA, 273 nt
Filed under: Ascomycota sp.
Lineage: Eukaryota; Fungi; Ascomycota
Description: partial contains small subunit ribosomal RNA, internal transcribed spacer 1, and 5.8S ribosomal RNA
Rfam family: Eukaryotic small subunit ribosomal RNA (bases 1-47)
Source: RNAcentral
AAAGUCGUAACAAGGUUUCCGUAGGUGAACCUGCGGAAGGAUCAUUACCGAGUGCGGACUUCGGUCCAACCUCCCAUCCGUGUCUAUUGUACCCUGUUGCUUCGGCGGGCCCGCCCUCGCUCCCUCACCGGAGCAGGGCCGCCGGGGGGCUUUUCGCCCCCGGGCCCGUGCCCGCCGAGGACGAUAACCAUGAACACUGUCUGAAGUAUGCAGUCUGAGUCAAUUUGAUUAAAGAAAUCGUUAAAACUUUCAACAACGGAUCUCUUGGUUCCG